Molecule: long non-coding RNA, 341 nt
Filed under: Mytilus galloprovincialis (Mediterranean mussel)
Lineage: Eukaryota; Metazoa; Mollusca; Bivalvia; Mytilida; Mytilidae
Source: RNAcentral
AUAUGUUCUUGUCUAUUGAAAACUUUGACUGAUAACCAAAUUUAAUCAUUAUAUGCUCAUUUUUAACAAUUGUAGCGAAUCACUUACCUAUGAUCAACUUUGCCAAAGCUAUCACUGAAUAUAGAACUUAGGGAAUUUAGAUAAAAAUAGUCCUUUUAUUAACAAAGACUUAUAAGACCAGGUGAUACUGGUGUUCUUUCAUUGUGGUAGCUACUUUUGAUGUUACCCCAUGAAUAUUGCAAUUAAUUAUAUUGCAAAGCAGUAUGAGGGAUAUUAAGAACUCUGGUCAACACGCAUUCAAAAUAAGAAAUAGUUAUGAUAUGUUAUCAUGUCUUUUUUUU